GUCCGUUAGAUGGGGAAGCUAUGUGAAACCUUAUCAAUUAUCAUUAUAUAUAUCAUGGGAGGUACAUAUCAAAUAACCCUCUUGAAAGCAAAGGUCAAGGGUAGCAAUAGCUUUAAGCUUAGAAAUUAUUUCAGAAAUGGCUUCCUCAGUUAUGUCCUCAGCAGCUGCUGUUGCGACCGGCGCUAAUGCUGCUCAAGCCAGCAUGGUUGCACCCUUCACUGGCCUCAAGUCCGCCUCCUCCUUCCCUGUUACCAGGAAACAAAACCUUGACAUUACCUCCAUUGCUAGCAAUGGUGGAAGAGUUCAAUGCAUGCAGGUUUGUAGUGCAUAUUAUAUGGAUUUAACUUGCAAUAUACUGAUAGUACUAUAAAGAACUUUGCACCAUCAGUAUAUGUCACUAAGUGGAGUAACAUUUAUGGAGCUUGUUUAAAAUUAUUUAUUUGGGAUACAUGUAGGUGUGGCCACCAAUUAACAAGAAGAAGUAUGAGACACUCUCAUACCUUCCUGAUUUGAGCCAGGAGCAAUUGCUUAGGGAAGUUGAUUACCUUUUGAAAAAUGGAUGGGUUCCUUGCUUGGAAUUCGAGACUGAGGUCAACGUCUAUUAUAAAUCUUGCUACUAUUAUCAAGCAUAUAUACCUAACAUGAAUUACUCAAUCCUAACUAAUUUGGGAUCAAAUGUAGUUGAUUAAUGGUAUUUAUUUCAUGUUAAUGUUUUGUUUAUCUUGUGGAUAUGUACAGCACGGAUUCGUCUACCGUGAGAACAAUAAGUCACCAGGGUACUACGAUGGUAGAUACUGGACCAUGUGGAAGUUGCCCAUGUUCGGGUGCACUGAUGCCACUCAGGUCUUGGCUGAGGUAGAGGAGGCAAAGAAGGCUUACCCACAGGCCUGGAUCAGAAUCAUUGGAUUCGACAACGUCCGUCAAGUGCAAUGCAUCAGUUUCAUCGCCUACAAGCCCGAAGGCUACUAAAAUCUCCGUUUUUAAGACAACUUACCGUAUGGAUUCAGGGGAAGCUUGUUUGAAUCUCCUUGGGCUUUCCCCCCGGAGAAACUGUUUUAGUUUUCCUUCUUCAUUCUAUUCAAUGUAUGUUUUUGAAUU
RNAcentral lists this long non-coding RNA (1098 nucleotides) under Nicotiana tabacum (common tobacco). Its description in RNAcentral is "long non-coding RNA (NTAB_LNC002688)". The record is from RNAcentral. Lineage: Eukaryota; Viridiplantae; Streptophyta; Magnoliopsida; Solanales; Solanaceae.